RNAcentral lists this unclassified non-coding RNA (354 nucleotides) under soil metagenome. RNAcentral describes it as "partial contains 5.8S ribosomal RNA, internal transcribed spacer 2, and large subunit ribosomal RNA". The stretch from base 1 to 120 matches the Rfam family "5.8S ribosomal RNA", at positions 35 to 154 of the family's 154-position model. The record is from RNAcentral.
GAUGAAGAACGCAGCGAAAUGCGAUAAGUAAUGUGAAUUGCAGAAUUCCGUGAAUCAUCGAAUCUUUGAACGCACAUUGCGCCCCCUGGCAUUCCGGGGGGCAUGCCUGUCCGAGCGUCAUUUCUGCCCUCCAGCCCGGCUGGGUGUUGGGCGCUGUCCCCCCGGGGACACGCCCCAAAGGCAGUGGCGGCGCCGCGUCGGGUCCUCGAGCGUAUGGGGCUUUGUCACCCGCUCGGGACGGACUCGUCGGCGCUGGUCUUCCUCCAGGCGACCCUUCGGGGCUCGUAUUCCUUCGGUUGACCUCGGAUCAGGUAGGGUUACCCGCUGAACUUAAGCAUAUCAAUAAGCGGAGGA